Zophobas morio is the source of this 1198-nucleotide long non-coding RNA. RefSeq lists it as uncharacterized. The record is from RefSeq and is a predicted model, not a curated record. Lineage: Eukaryota; Metazoa; Arthropoda; Insecta; Coleoptera; Tenebrionidae. The transcript is spliced from 2 exons.
UUCUUUAAAUUUGCCAUCACUUUGUUACGCACAAUAAAGCUGCUUUGAUAAAUCGAUAAAAAACAAAAAUCAGAAUUCUAAAAAUACCUAUGUGCAUUAUUUAUAUUUUUUAAUGUGUUCUUAUUGUAAAUGUAUCCGUCAAAUUUUAAAAAGAGAAAGUGUUUCGCGCGCAUUCCUUUAUUAUCAGUACCACGUUUGGGCGGAGUCUCUCAGGUCAAGGCAAUGACGGAUGCAUCGUGUGAUUCCCCUAAGGAUGCAAUGUUAUUCAAACUUGCACAAACUGCACGUCUGAAGUUAUUUUUAAACGGUGAGUCGACAGUAGUUUAAUUCGGGUAGAGGGCAGCAUACACAACGUUGUUAAUAGAAACUCAUCGCAUCGAUCUUUCAACAGUAAAAAUUGUGGUUAAAAUGAGUAUUAGCGCAAAUCGCGAACGGUAUGUGCGAAAUCCCGUUCUCAUCAAAGAAAUCCUCAAAGAUUCAAUCACGACGGAUUGGGAAGAAACCGUCCAUAUACCGUUUGUGCUGAAAGAAGUGUCGCAGAAUUCAGCCGAAUACGCAAGAGUGAAUGCAACAUUUGAACGAACGUCACGGGGUAUGUCGAUUAAAAAAUUAGAAAGAGUGGAAAAUCCGUACCUCUUGGGACACUACUUAAUGAAAAAAGAAAAAAUGCGAAGUGAAUAUUCGGUUGUCCGGGAAAUAUCCCUGUUUCACGGCACACAAAAAAGUUAUAUCAAUAAUAUAUGCAAGUAUAAUUUUGAUUGGCGGAAACGGGGAAGUUCGAGAGGCCACAAGUUUGGGCAAGGAGUGUCUUUUGCCCCGGAAGUACCAUACGCACGACAUUAUACUAUGGAUAAUGUAAUGAUCCUUGCAAAGGUCCUAGUGUCUAAGGCCUCAAUUGGAAAUCAAUUUACGGUAGUACCACCAACAUCGUUUGACACCACCGCAAACAGCAAAUGUUCUGUUAUUGUGAAAUAUGAAGACGACGAUUUUUAUCCGCAAUAUGUUAUACAUUUUAAUCGGUUUUAAUUUUUUUUCAGAUUUCAAAGCAAGUAUUGUGUUGUGAUAUUUAGUUUUUACUUUUUGUAUUGAAUUAUAAUUAAAUGUACUCACCAGUGUUUUGUUUGUUAUACUUUUCGCAUUAUUUUAUAUUUUAUGUUGGUUUUGUAUCCAAUGUAAUUAAAAAUAAAGAAAAAAGAUA